RNAcentral lists this long non-coding RNA (5123 nucleotides) under Ananas comosus (pineapple). RNAcentral describes it as "long non-coding RNA (ACOM_LNC024410)". Lineage: Eukaryota; Viridiplantae; Streptophyta; Magnoliopsida; Poales; Bromeliaceae. The record is from RNAcentral.
AACUCCUCUCCUCUAUCGGUGCUCUCCCACCGGCCGACAGCCCCAUUCCUCUUCCUUCAAGUUGUCGACGCCGUAACCGCUCCGCAGCUCCAAGAACGGUGAGCCGUGAGCCGUGAGCCUCUCUCUCUCUCGCUCUCUCUUCUUCGUCCUCUUUUCCUCCGACGAAGACUAUUGUAUUCUUCGUCGGAACCCCUCCUUCCUUGGCGGCGCGGAGUCGCAGCGCCAGCUGGAGGCAGUUUUUUGAAGCGGGCCGGAUUGGAUUAUGGGGUUCGUGUUUCUACCCGUCAUGGAGUCGGGGCGGUAGUCGGGGCAGAUCCACUCCGUACGCGUCCCCCCCCCCCACACCUGGUUGGAGCCACGAAGGGGUCGUAGGGUUCUGUGAUUUGUGCUCCAUUUUCACCCGAUGUCGUCGGGCGAGAAGGCUCCCGCCGAGGUCGGCACGAGCGGUAAAAGCAAGCCCGUCGCCAAUGUUGACGACAAGGUCGUCGCCGAUGUCGAUCCCAAAAGCGUUCCUCCCGAGGUUGAGGUUACCUUCUUAUCUCCGGUUCCUUCUCUCUUUCUCCCCAUUCUUGGGUUUUUUUUUUUUUUUUUUUCUUUCUUUCCACUUGAAUUUAUUUAUGAUGCAUCAGCGUUAGGGUUCCACUGCUUCAGAUUGUCUGCGGCUACUUGUGUAGGGAUUAUUUCUACUAGUUAUAUGAAGGGUGUGUGUGUGUGUGUGUAAACGGGUUAGGACUUAGGAGUGUAUAUAUAGUAGGGCUACAAUGAAUGGAGAAACGGCUCGGGGUUUGGCUGGAUGCUUUCAUUAUACUGAUUAUGUAUUUUGUUGCAGAAGCAAAACUUAGUGCAAGUGCCAUUAGAGAUUUAUAGAGUAGGGUGUCACGGGUCAAUCGUUGGGGCUCGACCGUGAUGCUCUUGGGGGCCACGGGGCUUUAAUUUUGGUAGAUAUCCUGCUCAGACUAGAAUCAUGGUUGAUGGAAAAUAGAGCAUCACUAUCCACUAUAGGAGGGAAUUUAGAGAGUGAGACCCCUCGACGCCUCUCCUAUAUCUUCUUCCUAUGGAUAGAUUGAGGAUAUUUCUAAAGAGAGAAUAUUAAAGAUUGAAUACAUCGACGGAUUUUAGCAAUUAGUUAAAAGUAUUUCAAUGCUUCUAUUAUAUUACUCCCUAAUUUUUGGAAGGGCUAAGAAAUAAAAUGCUUUUCUACAAAAAUGAAUCCUCUUGAUGUUUAAGGGUUACUCGUGCCUAAGGAUAAACUUUCGAAAAGAAUUUUAAUUUUCCAAUCGCAGAGUUGAUGGAAAGAGCAAAUGGUUGGUUGAUCUUCUAGGUUACAAAGUAAAAAAAAUGCCUUUCACUAUUUAUCUUGCCAAUGUCUAUUUAGAAUAGGUUCUGAUUAGGGAGACACUAAUUCCUGAGUUUAAAUGCUUGAGUAAACAAAUGCAUUCUAGUACUUAGCGUGGAUUCGGGUGUUGAAAUGGAGAAUUGUCAUAGGAAGGCUUUGCUUGGUUUUGGGGAGCUCUUUGGCCAUCUUUUUCCCAACAAUAGAUCAAAAGAUAAUGCAACAAUGUUGAUAUGCACUUUCCCAAUAGUACAUAACAAAAUAAUGCGACGAUGUUGAUCAAUAUUUGAUACAGAAGCCAAGUUGCUGUUCAAGACUUCUAGGGAAAUUACAAUAAGAAUAUAGGAAGUUUUGUGAGCUUUUGGGGGCAAUCUAACCAAGGUUUAAAGUGCCGUGGCACGGGGGAGUGCCGUUAUGUCUCUGGCACGGUUCGGCACAGGUACGCUUGCGUGCCGACACGUGGCACGCUUGCGUGCCGAUAGAUACGCAUGAUCUCCUACUGGCACGUUUUGGCACAGACUUAUUUAAGUUUUUUUGGUUCCAAUAAACUCUUAUAAUGUUAUUUUGAAAGAUUUAAAUAAAUAAUUAUGAAUAUUUAUUAUGUAUACUUUGCUAUACUCAUCAAUUAAUAUGCAUGUAAGCUUUUUGUAAGUAAAAUAUAACUAUACUUGAUGUAGAAUAGAAAUUAAAAUACAAUAAUAAAAUCCACACGUAUAAUAAUUAUUUAAAUUUACAUCUUUACAUAGAGAUGACUUUUUAAUUCGACAUAGAUCGUCGCGCUUGAUCAUAUGGCAUAUUAUCAUCUGCAGAUACAAGAUUUAUUUUGAAAAUGUUGAUAUAAGUAUUGCUGGUAUUUGUGAGAAAGUUAUAUAUUCCUGAUAUUACAUCUAUAUUUUUUUAUUUUGUUAUUCUUUUAAAAAUAUCUGAUCAAAAUUUGUUUAGGAGAUCGAUUUUUGUUAUCUUGAUUCAUCGAAAGCUUCGCGGUGCGACAAAUUUUGACAAAAUAUUUUGUGAAGAAAAAAUGGAUGUCUGUGGUGGAAGCGGAGGGCUCGGGGCGACAGGGGGGCGAAGCCCCUGGCGGUAUGGAUCAGAUAUGUCAAUUAAAAAUUUGCUCAUAUAUUGAUAAAUAAAAAGUUAAAAAAAGACAUCCGCCAAAAAGCAAAACAAAAGUUGAAAAAAAGAUAACAAAGUGAAAAAAAGACAAUAUAGAUGGCCCGGCCGGGGCUCGAUACCCCAGAAAACAAAAGAAAAAAGAAAAAAGAAAAAACCAAAAAAAAAGGCAAAAAAAAAAGAAAAAAAAAAGCACGGCACGGCACAGUGCCGCGGCACCCUUGCGCGUGCCGCUUUGUCUCGAGCCAGGCACCCCCCCCCGCGUACCGUGCCCCUUUCUUAGGGGCACGGUACGUGCCGCACGGACGAGAUUUGAAACCUUGAAUCUAACCUUAUAUAGUGAAUGAUGAGUAAUAUUUGAGGUUAUAGUAACAGUGUAGAAACACUUUGAAAAGUUGUUACAAAAUGUUUAAUUAAUGGGCUGAAUUCACUUUGAAAAGUUGUUACAACAUGUUUAGUUGAUGGGCUGAUGAGGGGGUCGUUAGCCCCUAUGUGAAGUUUUGUGUAAGAUACCUGUGUUGGUCAAACUAAAGAAUUUUCUGUUGAGUGGCUUGGAAUAUAGAAUCCUGAAAAGAAUAACCUAGGGAUGAGAGGAUGGCUGGUGAAUACUUUUGUGUACCGUGUGCAGAAGGGGAAGAAAGCAUGCAACAUCUCUUUGUAGAUCGUUAAAUAGUAAAGGAAAUGUUAGGUGGCUAAAUGAAGGGUGUGUAGAGUGAGUGGAGAAAGUAGGUAGUGGUUAUAAUUUAGAGGAGGUCUUGAGACUUGGUUGUGGUUAUUAUACUACGGUUGGCCAGGAAGCGAUAGCCAAGACAUAAUAGUCAUGUUGCGCCGAUAGACCCACUACACCUAUGGAAAAGAAGCCUCUAUGGAUACAUAAUGUUAGAAAUUGAAGCAAACUUGAGUUAUUUGUAAUACUGACAUAUUAGGCAAAAUUUUUAACUAUUACAUUUCAUUUCAUAAUGUAAUGGAUGUUGAUUUCAAAUUUGUACAUAAUUGUGUAUGCAUCUAAGCAUUUGUCUCAAAUUAUUCUACUAGCAAAAGUGGAGCAACUGAGACUACUCUAGCUUGAUCAUGCUUGUCCAUGCCCAUUAAAACUCCCGUCGGUAGGUGGAUUUGAAAAAAGGUGUAACAAUAACAAGGUGAAAAAAGUCAAAGCAGUUUUCAAAUGGAUACAGCUAGCUGAAUAAGGCAAACUUUGUCUACUAGGUCUUUUAAAAGAAACAAAGGAUGUGAAUAAUAAAAAUAGGAUAAGAAUCUAUAGUAAUGUAAAAAGAUAUAGGGUACAAGAAUGCUACUAUUUAACCAAUACGAGUAAUACUUCUGAAUUGUCCAUAAUGUGUAUUAUAAUACUGUUCAUUUCCAUAAAUUAACACAUUCUGACCCAAUUCAGGUACUUGUCCUCUCAAACUGCAUACACAUUCGUCUCUAAUUCUCUAUGGGCUAGCAAUUUCUUAUUAGAUCUAAAUUUUCCCCUAUUGGUGAGCAAGCACCCUUCUAGACCACUUUUUUAGAGAGUAUGAAGUGGCAGCAAUAUCAUUUACCGUAUCAACUCUUGAGAAUUCCUGACACUACACCGAGACUUGACACGUUUUGCACAGACCGGUCGUUAGCUUAUGAUCCUUCACUGUAUAGAAUUUGGAAAUCUAGUUGCAAUCAGAUUAGUUUGAAAGCAAGAGAAGUUUCGGUACCCGCAAGGAUAUGGGUCCAAUUUACACUUGUUUUGUUCUUCAAGUCUCGCUUGCAUACUAGAGCUAGAUUACCAAUAAAUAGACUACUACGAGUCCAAAAUACAUUUCUUGUAUUGCCUUCUAGAAGGAGGACCUAUACAACUUCAAAUCCCAACACCUAGGUUUCAAAUUUUAAACUUUUGUCCAAAUUAAUUUCAAAUCUUUGCAGCUUAGUCUAAUACUUGUUUAGGGAUUUUUACUAUGGGAUGCCACAUUUAAUUUAUUUAUUAAAGCAGAGCAUCACAUUAUAUAUUUCUUGUGUUACUUGUUUUCUUUUGCUUGGAAGCCAAGUGAUCUAUCUUGCAUAUAUAAAGAUGGUGCUAGCAUUGUUAGAUCAAACUUUCUAAAUUUCUUAUGUUGUAUUCUCUUCUUUUAGAAGCGUCCGCUUAUUUAGAGGAGUUUCAAUUUAUUAUUUGGUUCUCGUGUUUUGGCGGUGUGCAUCUCAUAAAUUUUCUGCUAUGGUACUUGGCAUUGAAACACAUAACUUCAUGUUCUACAGCAACUUGAGCAACUGAGGCGGCGCCAGCAUGCACUAACAGGAGAAGUGGUACGCUAUCAGUUUUAAUGAUUCAUUAAUCAUUACUUCUCUUCUUAGAGCUUGUGAAAAGAAAUCAAUUGAAGGAGACAAUGAAGGAUGUCACUUUAUUGUAGAAUUUUUUACAGGAAGAAGAUACACGGUUGGAGACCACGCGUGUUAGAUGUGAGGCUUCCUUUUUUUUUUGCUUUUAUUUAUUGCAAUAAUACUUAAAGGAGUACAUAAAGAAGAUGCUUGAUUUGUUUCGUAUGUGUUUAAAGUUUAUUAAUAGUUUUUGUUUGCUUGCAGUGUUGAAUGUUCAAAAAAGGCAUGAAGCUUUGAAGGAUCGCCUUUCAAGGUAGAGGGUUCAUAUAGUUUGUUGAAAAUUAGUGUUGUGAGUUUCUAUGAUUCAUCAAUUAGUCCUUGAGUGAUAAUUUUC